RNAcentral lists this long non-coding RNA (2140 nucleotides) under Hordeum vulgare. RNAcentral's name for it is "long non-coding RNA (HVUL_LNC002891)". The record is from RNAcentral. Lineage: Eukaryota; Viridiplantae; Streptophyta; Magnoliopsida; Poales; Poaceae.
ACUUCCUUGACAAGAAUCCCCACUCGGCGCUUCAGCCAAGAAAGAACAGCAACAAAACACUCCCUCACUCCAAAGAUGUGACACUGGCCUAGAACAUUCGGAGGGACUUGUCAGAUCUGUUAUUAAAACUAGCCAAAGCCCGAAAGUCUCCACAUACAAGCCCAUGCCGCAACGAAGAGGAACCAAGAAAGGGGGGCGUGAGGGGGAAGAAGCCGACCGACCGGUGAUGAGGACGUGGGAGGCGCAGUGCUUGCAGUAGUAGACGAAGAGGUCGGACUCGGGGCCCUCCGGCAGCGCAUCCUCGCUCGAGUACGUGUGGGUCGUCCGCUUGGGCAUCUUCCCUCUCGCUCGCUCGCUCGGCUGCUGCGGUCGGCGGCGAACCGGAGCAGCGUCGGGGCGUGGGGGGAGGGGUGCGGGGGAGGGCACGGCUGCUCAGGCGGAGGCGGUCGNCCAAAAAGGUGGUAUAUCAUAACGUCCUACUGCAGGUGUUGUUAAUUGGUGUUUGAGAGAUAAGAUACCAUGAUCUGUUGUGUUGAUGUCUAUCUUAUCUUUUUUCUCUGGACAAUUUUUUGAUAGAAGAUUCAAUCUUUACAUGUGUCAUCAUCAAAAUUAUUCAUUUCCAAGUUGGGUACUGUUACGCAAUAAAAAGUUGUGUUGAAGUUUACCCUGAGUUGACGCAGCUACCACAGGAUUUUCUUCUCGAAAACAAUUGUGUGCACUUAAGAUACAUGAUAGUAGAUAAAGUGGCAAAUUUCACCAGGGUGGUCAACAUACAUAACAUCGCGUUACCAAUGCGUAAUACUGUCUAUAAAUUGUGCACUAAUAUUAGAAAACAUGAGAUUUGAAUCAAGUACCUAACAAUAACAAAGUUACAAGGUAUGAUUAGUACAUACCGUUUCAACAAGAUUUUUCCUGCAUCUUUCACAUUCAGCCUCGCAAGAUGCUUUGUCUUAUCUAGAACAUGUGCUCUGUCAGUCUUCCUCUUUGGCAUUUUCUGCAAUAGGGUAUCUUUAUAACAAGCACAUCAGAACUGGUUACAAUAGCAGAUACUUCAGUAUUAACAGGGCACACCGCAUACGACAAUCUUGAAAGUAGUCAAUAUCAGAAAGGAAAUGCAACUUAGCAACUCGAAAUUUCUAUCACUAGCUCGAUAUGACUGCUAAUCAUAUGGAACAACAAAAUAGUAAAAAAGAAAAAAAAUGACAAGAUUCCAAGGCAAAAUAAGUUUGAUAGGCGAAUCAUCUGAUUAAUCAGUUAAUCGGCUACUCGGUGACCCUCCAAGCAGGGAUUUAAUUGGCCAGCUAACUGAUUAAUAGGCCGAUUUUUUGAACAGUGCAAACAAGUUAUUGUGGUUAAAUCUGUGACAAGUUACAGACAGAGAUAAAUGCAGCUUUCUACUGUUCGUAGGAACCAUCUUCAUGGCAACCUCAGCUGAGAGAAAACCCAUGAUUACUACUCUUAAUCAAACUCACAAGACCAACAAGGGUGACAAUCAAAAUUCACAAUGCUGACACCAAAUGAAGACAACCUUCUAGCAAGCCGAAUCCCUUCAGCACUAUGUCGUUUCAGCUGUAAAGAAUUUGUGGGGGUUGGCACCCUUUGUAUCUGCUUAUCGUGUCGUUUCCCUAAUAAUUAACCCCAGUUCUACUCUCCUUAACAUAUAGGCAGGGCUGAUGCCGGGUUAUGUAUAAUCUAUCUAAGAAAGAAAGAAAAAGACUGUCACUUCCUUGACAAGAAUCCCCACUCGGCGCUUCAGCCAAGAAAGAACAGCAACAAAACACUCCCUCACUCCAAAGAUGUGACACUGGCCUAGAACAUUCGGAGGGACUUGUCAGAUCUGUUAUUAAAACUAGCCAAAGCCCGAAAGUCUCCACAUACAAGCCCAUGCCGCAACGAAGAGGAACCAAGAAAGGGGGGCGUGAGGGGGAAGAAGCCGACCGACCGGUGAUGAGGACGUGGGAGGCGCAGUGCUUGCAGUAGUAGACGAAGAGGUCGGACUCGGGGCCCUCCGGCAGCGCAUCCUCGCUCGAGUACGUGUGGGUCGUCCGCUUGGGCAUCUUCCCUCUCGCUCGCUCGCUCGGCUGCUGCGGUCGGCGGCGAACCGGAGCAGCGUCGGGGCGUGGGGGGAGGGGUGCGGGGG